UCCCCAGCUGUUUUCGGACUACAAUUCCCACCAUCCCUGACUAGCUAGGGAUGAUGGGAGUUGUAGUCCAAAAACAGCUGGAGA
Molecule: non-coding RNA, 84 nt
Organism: Podarcis lilfordi (Lilford's wall lizard)
Lineage: Eukaryota; Metazoa; Chordata; Lepidosauria; Squamata; Lacertidae
Source: the annotation of a GenBank genome assembly